This is a long non-coding RNA of Solea senegalensis (Senegalese sole), 726 nucleotides long. RefSeq lists it as uncharacterized. The transcript has 4 exons. Lineage: Eukaryota; Metazoa; Chordata; Actinopteri; Pleuronectiformes; Soleidae. The record is from RefSeq and is a predicted model, not a curated record.
ACCAGUAGUCCUCAUAGAGACCAACUCCUGGCCACAGAAGAAGCCCUCCUGCUGUGCAAACGGGUCCCGGCCUGGGAGACGUGGAGUCCACGCCUGUGCUGAAGCCAUUCUCAGUAAAUCAUUCCAUGAAUUAAUCGUGACCCUGAGCUUCAUCCACAAGUGCGAGCAAGUGAUCAGGAGACUCAAGUAAUGUCUUCAUGACCCAAUUUUAAAAGGAGAGGAUUAUUCACCAACUCAUCAGUGUCAUCCCAGUAUCACCAUGUUCAGGGUUCCACAAAAACCCAGGAACGUCUGUCUGAAAAGGUCAAAUGGCGCCAAUUGAGUUCAACACCGUGCUGUGUCAGUAGGUUAACUGUGUCCCUAUGUGUUCUACCUAUCACACCUGCCAAUCAGAGGGACAUCAAUCAACACCGACCGGUGUCAAGUGGCGUGGAGCAGAGAAAGUGCUCAUCCCUCUGACUGUAAACUGUCACCCAGUGUCAGACAUAUGCAGUGUUUUUUCUGUCUUAACCACACAAAGUGGUCGGUUGUGGAAAAUGCUGCGCAGAUUGAUUGAGCUCCGUUUGUCCCCAUCAUGGCUGCAUAUACCCUCUCUGUCUUUUCUCUCCCUAUCCUGUCCAGGUAAAGUGGAGAAUUGGCUUCAGGUGAUUUGGAGAAGAUCUUAUCUUCUGUUAACAGAGGAAUGACACCAUAAUGGAGCAGCAGGGGUGCAAUUACCUCUCGGGC